This is a transfer RNA of Camelus ferus (Wild Bactrian camel), 72 nucleotides long. It matches the Rfam family "tRNA". Rfam says of the family: Transfer RNA (tRNA) molecules are approximately 80 nucleotides in length. Their secondary structure includes four short double-helical elements and three loops (D, anti-codon, and T loops). Further hydrogen bonds mediate the characteristic L-shaped molecular structure. tRNAs have two regions of fundamental functional importance: the anti-codon, which is responsible for specific mRNA codon recognition, and the 3' end, to which the tRNAs corresponding amino acid is attached (by aminoacyl-tRNA synthetases). tRNAs cope with the degeneracy of the genetic code in two manners: having more than one tRNA (with a specific anti-codon) for a particular amino acid; and 'wobble' base-pairing, i.e. permitting non-standard base-pairing at the 3rd anti-codon position. NCBI's taxonomy places the organism in Eukaryota, Metazoa, Chordata, Mammalia, Artiodactyla, Camelidae. The record is from Rfam.
GAGGGUAUACCUCAGUGGUAGAGUGCAUACUUAGCAUGUAUGAGGUCCUGGGUUCAAUCCCCAGUAUCUCCA